AUGAACGCUGGCGGCGUGCCUAAUACCUGCAAGUCGCGCGAACAGAUAAGGAGCUUGCUCCUUUGACGUUAGCGGCGGACGGGUGAGUAACACGUGGAUAACCUACCUAUAAGACUGGGAUAACUUCGGGAAACCGGAGCUAAUACCGGAUAACAUAUUGAACCGCAUGGUUCAAUAGUGAAAGGCGGCUUUGCUGUCACUUAUAGAUGGAUCCGCGCCGUAUUAGCUAGUUGGUAAGGUAACGGCUUACCAAGGCAACGAUACGUAGCCGACCUGAGAGGGUGAUCGGCCACACUGGAACUGAGACACGGUCCAGACUCCUACGGGAGGCAGCAGUAGGGAAUCUUCCGCAAUGGGCGAAAGCCUGACGGAGCAACGCCGCGUGAGUGAUGAAGGUCUUCGGAUCGUAAAACUCUGUUAUCAGGGAAGAACAAAUGUGUAAGUAACUGUGCACAUCUUGACGGUACCUGAUCAGAAAGCCACGGCUAACUACGUG
This 496-nucleotide ribosomal RNA is filed under the name uncultured bacterium. RNAcentral describes it as "partial 16S ribosomal RNA". It matches the Rfam family "Bacterial small subunit ribosomal RNA", at positions 29 to 507 of the family's 1533-position model. The record is from RNAcentral.